This 433-nucleotide ribosomal RNA is filed under the name uncultured bacterium. RNAcentral's name for it is "bacterial SSU rRNA". It matches the Rfam family "Bacterial small subunit ribosomal RNA", at positions 97 to 526 of the family's 1533-position model. The record is from RNAcentral.
GGCGAACGGGUGAGUAAUGUAUCGGAACGUGCCCAGUUGUGGGGGAUAACUGCUCGAAAGAGCAGCUAAUACCGCAUACGACCUGAGGGUGAAAGCGGGGGAUCGCAAGACCUCGCGCAAUUGGAGCGGCCGAUAUCAGAUUAGGUAGUUGGUGGGGUAAAGGCUCACCAAGCCGACGAUCUGUAGCUGGUCUGAGAGGACGACCAGCCACACUGGGACUGAGACACGGCCCAGACUCCUACGGGAGGCAGCAGUGGGGAAUUUUGGACAAUGGGCGCAAGCCUGAUCCAGCCAUGCCGCGUGCGGGAAGAAGGCCUUCGGGUUGUAAACCGCUUUUGUCAGGGAAGAAAAGGCUCCUGUUAAUACCGGGGGCUCAUGACGGUACCUGAAGAAUAAGCACCGGCUAACUACGUGCCAGCAGCCGCGGUAAUAC